CCGUAACCAUUAUCUUCAACCCUUACUUCGUGUGGACAUGCUGUACUUCCAAAUCUGGCAUAUAUUCCCAUUUCAUUUCUACUCCUUUGAGGUGGAACGCUCAUGUUUCAGACACCUUUGCUCGUUUCGUCUUCAGAAGUUGCAAUGAUAAAAUGCUAUAAUUGAAAAAUGAAGUAUUCAUUAGCUGGCGUAUACUACCACUGCACAAAAUACCGGAACAGAACUUCUUACUGAUUGUUUUGAAGACAUGAAAACUAGCCAUAUUCGCUG
RNAcentral lists this long non-coding RNA (270 nucleotides) under Linum usitatissimum (flax). RNAcentral's name for it is "long non-coding RNA (LUSI_LNC000723)". The record is from RNAcentral. Lineage: Eukaryota; Viridiplantae; Streptophyta; Magnoliopsida; Malpighiales; Linaceae.